This is a long non-coding RNA of Culex quinquefasciatus (southern house mosquito), 246 nucleotides long. RefSeq lists it as uncharacterized. Lineage: Eukaryota; Metazoa; Arthropoda; Insecta; Diptera; Culicidae. The transcript is spliced from 2 exons. The record is from RefSeq and is a predicted model, not a curated record.
CCAAACUAAACUACACGCCAAACAAAAUAAAAAGCUAUAAUCAGUACGAACACACUGACAUACACGCACACGUGCCCGCUUAAUGACACUUCCAAUCAUGGCCGCCUGCGAGGGAUGACCCCUGAGUGAUGUCAGAGCAGGUUCACGACUUCACGUGCAUUUUACUAGCAGUACGAAGAAAUCUAAAAGCAAGAAAAGUGUCAACAACAUUUUCAAAUAAAUAGUAAAUCUUAUACAAAUUAUAAA